AUUUAAAUAGUUUAAUUAAGAUAUUGAUUUGUGGAAUCAAAGAUAUAAUAAUAAGUGUUAUUUUAAAUA
RNAcentral lists this transfer RNA (69 nucleotides) under Balmes birmanus. RNAcentral describes it as "tRNA-His". The record is from RNAcentral. Lineage: Eukaryota; Metazoa; Arthropoda; Insecta; Neuroptera; Psychopsidae.